GAAUGCUGACAUAAGUAACGAUAAAGCGGGUGAAAAGCCCGCUCGCCGGAAGACCAAGGGUUCCUGUCCAACGUUAAUCGGGGCAGGGUGAGUCGACCCCUAAGGCGAGGCCGAAAGGCGUAGUCGAUGGGAAACGGGUUAAUAUUCCCGUACUUGGUGUUACUGCGAAGGGGGGACGGAGAAGGCUAUGUUGGCCGGGCGACGGUUGUCCCGGUUUAAGCGUGUAGGUGUGUGUUCCAGGUAAAUCCGGUUCACUUUAACACUGAGGC
RNAcentral lists this ribosomal RNA (269 nucleotides) under Salmonella enterica. RNAcentral's name for it is "partial 23S ribosomal RNA". It matches the Rfam family "Bacterial large subunit ribosomal RNA", at positions 1292 to 1562 of the family's 2925-position model. RNAcentral also lists the same sequence under 2 other names. Lineage: Bacteria; Pseudomonadati; Pseudomonadota; Gammaproteobacteria; Enterobacterales; Enterobacteriaceae. The record is from RNAcentral.